GCUGGGCGCGGUGGUGCGCGCCUGUAAUCCCAGCUACUCGGGAGGCUGAGGCAGGAGAAUCACUUGAACCUGGGAGACAGAGGUUGCAGUGAGCCGAGAUCGUGCCAUUGCACUCCAGCCUGGGCAAUAGAGUGAGACUCCGUCUCAA
Molecule: unclassified non-coding RNA, 148 nt
Organism: Pongo abelii (Sumatran orangutan)
Lineage: Eukaryota; Metazoa; Chordata; Mammalia; Primates; Hominidae
Rfam family: Metazoan signal recognition particle RNA
About the family: The signal recognition particle (SRP) is a universally conserved ribonucleoprotein. It is involved in the co-translational targeting of proteins to membranes.
Source: Ensembl